Molecule: ribosomal RNA, 362 nt
Filed under: uncultured bacterium
Lineage: Bacteria
Description: partial 16S ribosomal RNA
Rfam family: Bacterial small subunit ribosomal RNA
Source: RNAcentral
CCUACGUGCGGCAGCAGUGAGGAAUAUUGGUCAAUGGACGGAAGUCUGAACCAGCCAUGCCGCGUGCAGGAAGACGGCUCUAUGAGUUGUAAACUGCUUUUGUACAAGGGUAAACCUGAAUACGUGUAUUCAGCUGAAAGUACUGUACGAAUAAGGAUCGGCUAACUCCGUGCCAGCAGCCGCGGUAAUACGGAGGAUCCAAGCGUUAUCCGGAUUUAUUGGGUUUAAGGGGUGCGUAGGCGGAUUGAUAAGUUAGAGGUGAAAUGUCCGGGCUUAACUCGGGAACUGCCGCUAAUACUGUGGAGCGAGAGAGUGGAUGCGGUAGGCGGAAUGUAGGGGGUAGCGGUGAAAUGCGUAGAGAU